Molecule: signal recognition particle RNA, 253 nt
Filed under: Chlorocebus sabaeus (green monkey)
Lineage: Eukaryota; Metazoa; Chordata; Mammalia; Primates; Cercopithecidae
Description: Metazoan signal recognition particle RNA
Rfam family: Metazoan signal recognition particle RNA
About the family: The signal recognition particle (SRP) is a universally conserved ribonucleoprotein. It is involved in the co-translational targeting of proteins to membranes.
Source: Rfam by way of RNAcentral
GCCGGGCAUGGUGGCGUGCGCCUGUAGUCCCAGCUACUUGGGAGGCUGAGGCAGGAGAAUGGCGUGAACCUGGGAGGCGGAGCUUGCAGUGAGCUGAGAUCACGCCACUGCACUUCAGCCUGGGCGACAGAGCAAGACUCCGUCNNNNNNNNNNGACGGAGUCUUGCUCUGUCACCCAGGCUGGAGUGCAGUGGCGUGAUCUUGGCUCACUACAGCCUCCGCCUCCCAGGUUCAAGCAAUUCUCCUACCUCAG